AGGAAAUGGCAGAGCCAGAGGCGCCCCGAAAGCCAAACAGGCGCACGCCUAUUUCUGGUUGCUCCAGGAGAGGAGGGAGCAGCUAAGAGCACCGGCGUCAAAAAGCGCUUUGCGCCAUUUUCUGCGGGUUCGUGGGUUUUCAGUGAUCGACCACGGUGGGUAGCCAACGUGGUACCCUCCACGUGGUGGUGGGCUCCAGGUCCAAUAGUCAGUGGGGAUGGGAAGUGGAAUCCAAUAACAUCUGGAGGGCACCAGGUUGGCUACUCCAGUCAGUUGCCUACCAUCUGUUCUAAUCAAUCACCUUUGGUUGUGUGCAGUCUAAUCAAUCAAUCAGUCAAUCAGCCUUCAGGAAAUCGUAUGGGUCUCUGUGUUCUUUCAGAAGGAAUAGGUGCAUCCCAAUAGUUAUCUGGACCAUUGUUUAAAGUACUGUAUGUUGGAGGAUGAAUCGUAUUUUGAAACUGUUCUUAUUUUUUUAUAUGCCAGGUUCCUUGCCACCCUGAGACUGAAGGCAGCAUCAACAUCAUCAGAAUAAAAUUUUGGUUAUGGUGCAAUGCUAUGGGUUUUUGGGGGUGGGGGUGGUAAACCUCUUAGACUUAGAAGUUUGAUUACAAUCAGGCAGCUUAUAAAUGUAGGGGAAAUAUGUGUGUUUACUCAGAAGUAAGUCCCACUGUGCUCAAUGCAGUCUACACUCUCUAGUAAUAGUGUUUAGGAUUUAAAUCUUUGUAACCACCUGUCUCAGGUUAUCUUAGCUACAACAGCACCCUUAACAAAGUACAGCUCCCAGAAUUCUUUGAGGGAAGCCGUAACUGUUUGGUGUCAUAGCACUAUAAAUGUAUAUUAUGCAUAUGGCCACAGUGAGCACUACUGGGCUUUCAGUCUCUAUAUUAACUAACUCCCAGAGUUCCACUUCUGCCAUGUAUUUGACAACCUUUAUGAACUCUGUACUCCAUUAUGCAGUUGGUCAAUAUAACAGGAACGGUCAUGAGUAUCUGCACACUUGAGGCGUUUUAUUUCAGUGAAUCGCCCAGCUAGCUAGGGUGAAAAGAUAAAGGCCUGUGUCAAUAUUUGGAGUGGCAAGUCCACAGUUUAAAGAGCAAGUUGGCACAGAUGCUAUGUCAUGCACAAGUCACAUUUCAUGCAGCAAAGUCAAAAGGAGGGAAAAUGCAAUAGGUAGAAAGAUGCAAGUAGGCUGCCCAGCUGCAAAGGAUAGAACAUAUUCGAACUGGUUUGAGAAGCAUUAUGGAUGAAACAUGUAUGUGGGUGAAAGGACAAAAGCCAGGGAUACCUGGCUUACUAAUAUAGUACAUGUGAAAAGGAUCUAGGGGUCUUGGUGGACCACAAGCUUCACAUGAGUCAACAGUGUGAUGCAGCAGCAGCAAAAAAGAAAGAAAGAAAAAGCUAAUGCUAUUCUAGGCUACAUCAACAAAAGUAUAGUGUCCAGAUCAAGGGAAGUCAUAGUACCACUCUAUUCUGCCUUGGUCAGACCACAUCUGGAAUACUGUUUCCAGUUCUGAGUACCACAAUUUAAAAAGGAUGUUGACAAGCUGGAGUGUGUGCAGAGCAGGCCAACCAAGAGGAUCGACGGUCUGGAAACUAAGCCUGAUGAGGAACAGUUGAAGGAGCUGGGUGUGUUUAGUUUGGAAAAGAGGAGACUGAGGGGAGAUAUGGUAGCACCACUUAUUACCACCAAUUAAUAACGUGGCAGAUCCACUAACUGCCCUCAAUUAAAUAUAGUGCACCCACCUUACAGUAUACCAAUUAAACACAUUUCUACAAUUUACCACAGAUUAUCUAGUGGGGGAAUUGUGUGAGGGAAAGCUUAAUGAUUUAGACUCUAAAGAAAAGCUUUAUUAAACAAAAAGAAGUUUAUUAAAUGAAGUGAGUCAAGAUAUGCAUUCUUUCAGGCAGACGUUAACUUAUUUACUUUAAGUAACUAUGAGAUGACUCAGUCUUAAACACAAUACUAUAGGAACAACUCUUUGUAAACUUCAGUUACAAAAAAAUCAGGUGUUAACACUUCAGGUGGUAAAUAUCCAGGUUUCUAGAAUAGUUGGUAAAAUGCUUGACUCCAUUUCUGUCACUUAGAUAUUACAAUUAAAUACUUUUGACACCAUCCCGCUUCCUUUAUAGCUUAAUACUUUGGUUCACUUCUCCUCUGUUACCCACUCUUUUAACAAUCCUACACCUGAGGUAUUCUCAGACCCAGGGGAUCACCUCACCCCUUGGGCUAGGAGUCUUCAGUACCUAGAAAAACUCUUCCCUCCUGGCUAUACUGGCACCCAGGUAGCCUGCACAAGAUCUACCUUUCCUGGUUCACUCACAGCCUUCCCAGGACACUCUUGUCUCUAUACCUUUCCCAGACCCUCAACCAGGUCUCCCUAUCCAAGCUGCAACACUCUGUCCUCUCGCUAUGGAUAGUCUCCUCAGUGCGUAAGUUGAAUUUCACUCAGAACCAGUUCUCCUUAUCUCAUUCCCUAAUUCCCAACUCCAAUCAAACCAUAUUUCUUAACCUGAACCUUUGCCCCUUCUCAAAACCAAACCCCUGUCUAAUCUUCUCCCUCAGAAACUGCUCCUUUUAUUCUCCCCCCCCCCCACAAACUGACUCUGUAGCCAGUCUGUGAGAGGCUCUAGCACACUGGUGGAAUUUCAGAGGAACUGCAUCACCAGACUCUGCUGUCCGUCACAAAGCUGUCUUCAAAUAUCUAAAAGGCUGUCACGUUGGAAGAUGGAGCAAGCUUGUUUUCUCCUGCUCUGGAGGGUAGGACUUGAACCAAGUAACCAGAGAGGAGAUUCUGACUAAACAUUGGGAAGAACUUUUCUGACAGUGACAGCUGCUGUGACAAGAGGUGGUGGACUCUCCUUCCUUGGAGGUUUCUAAGCAGUUGUUGUUUAGUCGUGUCCGACUCUUCGUGACCCCAUGGACCAGAGCACGCCAGUCACUCCUGUCUUCCACUGCCUCCCGCAGUUUGGUCAGACCAAACUGCGGGAGGCAGUGGAAGACAGGAAUUAGAUCAUAUAUGACCUAGAUGAGAUUCCUGCAUUGCAGGGCGUUGGACUAGAUGACCCUCAGCUUCCAUUUCAACUCUACAAUUCUGUUAUUCUAUUAUUCCUCUUGUUGAGAGCCAGAGUAGGUAGCAGUUGUACACCUGAUCCACAUUGGGCUCCUGGUGUGCCUCUUUGAUGUGACAUUCUGCACUGGUUUAUGCAUGUGAGAUGCUCUCUCUUUUUUUAACUGGUCCAUUAUUCUGAGUGCAACAAAACAAUGUAGGAAUGCAUGCAAGGAACUGCCAUCCUGUAAGCAUGAAGCUGUUCACUGGGAUCCAUGCAUUUUCUGAAAUGGGACUGCAGUGCUAAAUCUUUUAUCCGUAAGGACGUGCAAAUUUGAGUUUUAAGGUAGUUUACAAAAAAAGAUCUGCUGUCUAGACAUAUUAACACAACUUCAUAGCCUUUCCUGCAACUCCGAUACUUUACACAAGCGCAUGAUUUGGUGGAGCCAGCAAAAAAGCAGAGAUCAAAUAACCAGAGUCAUGUUCCCUUUGUCAUAGCUCUGAAUUUUUCAGCAUCGCCUUCCACUGUCCUGGUCCCUUUCCAUCAUGCAUUAUUAAGAGGGGAUCCCCUCCCCCAACUGACUGGCAGUCUUUUUCUCACCUGGAGUGGGGCUGGGGAAGCAAGCAAGAAUUGGGGAGAAUUAGAAGCAAGCAACCAAAAAUAACAUUUGCAACAUCACAUUUUCAAAGGCACAAAUAACUUUUUUGUGUGUGAGGACAGUUUCACUCUGCAAGACUGCAAAGUUUAGGAAGCGAAGUAAUCACAGCUGGAGGUGAACUUUGUACUGUGAGUCCAAAUAUAUUUUACCCAGUUUGUUUAAUCUGAUAGAGAGAAGUCACAUUUCCCCCCAAGACUCAAACAAGUUGCUGGGGAAAUGCUAACCCUUCCUUCAUGAAACCCAGCCUUACACACUUAUUUACCUGGAAGUAACUCCCAUUGAACUCAGUGGAGCUUAAUUCUGAGCAGAAAUAGGUAGGAUUGCAGUGCAAAAUCAGUGAUUGUUAUCAAAAGCCACAUGUGUGUAUGUGUGCAAGAUUCAGCUUUUGGCACGCAACUUCACAUGUUGAUGGACAGCAAGCAACAGACAAAUGGACAAGAUAAACCUGGUUCACCCAACCCCACUGAAUAUACAUGUAGCUGCACAUAAUAUUUUUGCACACCCGCAGAAGUGAUGCAAAGCCUAUGGUGCAAAUAUUCUAAGACAGGUGGUGCUAUAGCUAUAGUGUCUUCUUCCCAAGGCUGAUAUUUUAUGCAUAGCAUAGCACAGUUCUUUUGCACUCACGUAAUAUUGCUGCUGCAAGCAGACUUGCAGUGUCUGUAUUCUUCUUGCUUGCUUUGUUUUGAGCCUCCUUUAUCCCUGCUCCGUCUCACGCACAGUCCUUGUUUCUUUCAGGCCCCUUUGUUGUCUGUCAAUGGCAUCGCUGGCAAGUGGACAAUAUAUCUAAGCAGCGGGAAUCAUUGCUUCCAUGGGAAAGGGCAGCAACUUUCCCCUGGUGACCCCAUGGCUUCUCUGGCUAUCCGUGAGUGAAUUGAACAGACGAGUGGUGCUGUUAGGGUAUUGGGGUUCAGGACUCAAUAACCUGUGGGUUCUGCCUGGACAGCCCAUGAGAUCCAGUUGUCAGUCAAACAGGACAUUUUUGCAUACCCUCCAACAUUUUUUCAAUAAAAAUAGGGACAUUCUAAAUAAUAAUAAUAAUAAUAAUAAUAAUAAUAAUAAAUAAUACCCCACCCAUCUGACUGGGUUGCCCCGGGCACUCUGGACAACAUCUAACAUAUAUAAAAACAUAAUAAAACAUUUUAAAAACUUCCCAAUACAGGGCUGCCUUCAGAUGUCUUUUAAAGGUUGUAUAGUUACUUCUUGGUUUGGGGUUCACAUAACUCCAUAUGCUCCAAUGUUUCUCCGAUGAAAAUAGGGACGUAUAGUAGAGGGUGAAAUACCCAAGAAAGUGCUUAUUCUUUUCCUCUACACAGUAACAGCAGCCAGAAUAAUUUAUGCCCAAAGGUGGAAGGACAAAAAUAGUCCCACAAAAGGAGACUGGCAGAAUAAGCUAAUAGAAUGCGCUGAGCUAGCAAUGUUGACUGCAAAGAUAAGAAAUGGGGAUGAGUUGGAUAUAAAAGAAGAGUGGGAAUACUUUGGUGAAUAUUUAAAGAAACAUAACAAAUCAGGUAAGUGGGGUUAGAUAUAUGAGCAGCAGUUAAAAAUAAGCAGAAGAGGGGUGGUAAUUAAGGUGAUACAGCUCAACAAGGACUACGGUAAACAAGACCCCCACAGAGGGAUGUGUGUGGGAGCUAAAGAGUGUAAGAUAAAUGAUGACAAUUGUAUAAUCGUUGUACUAAGAUAUGUAAAAUGCAUAAAUGUGUGUGUGUGUGAAAAUAGGGGCAUACUAAGGAAUUUGGACCUUCUGGGAUCAAUUCAGAUACCUGACAGCUUCUGUAAAUCCUGGACUGUCGCUGGAAAAUAGGGACACUUGGAAGGUCUGUUUUCUUAAACACAACGUAGUAGCCAGCAAGUAGUUGAAGGGUGGCACAGCAAAUAUGAGAACAGCACACGCUUUUAUACACUUCCAAGCAAAGGGACAGUUAGGCCUUUUAUGGCUGUGCUUCCUUCCACUAUAAUCAUGAGGUGUAGUAGCUUUCUUAUCUUUCCUUCCUUCCUUUGUCCUUAACAGUUCUAGCAAUAGCUCCUGCAUACCUGUUUUUCCAUCCUUCUCUUGCAGUGACAACCUUCGCAUUCCAACCUUCACUUGCUCAACCUUGCUCACCCACAUUUCAACCUUUAAUGUUCUCAUUUCUGUAUAUUUUUCCCCUCCAGCAACACAAGGCCAUGUAGCAGACUUUCUCUUUUUCUUUCCAUGGGCAGGGCAGUUGACCAUGAUCGAAAGGGAUUCAUCCAUCCUAUAACCAUUUGGGACCCUGCUAUUUUUGAUGGUUUUCAGUUGUGUGGAUUUCUUGUACAGUUUACCUUACCUUCUCUCGCUAGGCAGCUGUGUAACCCAACAGAAGGCAAC
This is a non-coding RNA of Podarcis lilfordi (Lilford's wall lizard), 6056 nucleotides long. The record is from the annotation of a GenBank genome assembly. Lineage: Eukaryota; Metazoa; Chordata; Lepidosauria; Squamata; Lacertidae.